GCAACAGUAGCUCAGCAUCAGAGCCCCGGUCUUGUAAGCCGAAUGUCGAGGGUUAAAAUCCCCCCUUUUGCU
Molecule: transfer RNA, 72 nt
Filed under: Liparis gibbus (variegated snailfish)
Lineage: Eukaryota; Metazoa; Chordata; Actinopteri; Perciformes; Liparidae
Also listed under: 2 other names
Description: tRNA-Thr
Rfam family: tRNA
About the family: Transfer RNA (tRNA) molecules are approximately 80 nucleotides in length. Their secondary structure includes four short double-helical elements and three loops (D, anti-codon, and T loops).
Source: RNAcentral